CGCGAAAACCUUACCCACCUUUGACAUGUACGGAAUUCCGCAGAGAUGUGGAAGUGCUCGAAAGAGAACCGUAACACAGGUGCUGCAUGGCUGUCGUCAGCUCGUGUCGUGAGAUGUUGGGUUAAGUCCCGCAACGAGCGCAACCCUUGUCAUUAGUUGCUACGAAAGGGCACUCUAAUGAGACUGCCGGUGACAAACCGGAGGAAGGUGGGGAUGACGUCAAGUCCUCAUGGCCCUUAUAGGUGGGGCUACACACGUCAUACAAUAGGCCGGUACAAAGGGCUGCCAACCCGCGAGGGGGAGCCAAUCCCAUAAAACCGGUCGUAUCCGGAUCGCAGUCUGCAACUCGACUGCGUGAAUCGGAAUCGCUAGUAAUCGUGGAUCGAAUGUCACGGUGAUACGUUCCCGGG
RNAcentral lists this ribosomal RNA (410 nucleotides) under uncultured bacterium. Its description in RNAcentral is "bacterial SSU rRNA". It matches the Rfam family "Bacterial small subunit ribosomal RNA", at positions 960 to 1378 of the family's 1533-position model. The record is from RNAcentral.